Molecule: ribosomal RNA, 519 nt
Filed under: uncultured bacterium
Lineage: Bacteria
Description: bacterial SSU rRNA
Rfam family: Bacterial small subunit ribosomal RNA
Source: RNAcentral
GGCUCAGGACGAACGCUGGCGGCGUGCCUAAUACAUGCAAGUCGAGCGAGCUGAACCAGCAGAUUCACUUCGGUGAUGACGCUGGGAACGCGAGCGGCGGAUGGGUGAGUAACACGUGGGUAACCUGCCCUAAAGUCUGGGAUACCACUUGGAAACAGGUGCUGAUACCGGAUAACAACAAUAGCUGCAUGGCUAUUGCUUAAAAGGCGGCGAAAGCUGUCGCUAAAGGAUGGACCCGCGGUGCAUUAGCUAGUUGGUAAGGUAAUGGCUUACCAAGGCGACGAUGCAUAGCCGAGUUGAGAGACUGAUCGGCCACAUUGGGACUGAGACACGGCCCAAACUCCUACGGGAGGCAGCAGUAGGGAAUCUUCCACAAUGGGCGAAAGCCUGAUGGAGCAACGCCGCGUGAGUGAAGAAGGUUUUCGGAUCGUAAAGCUCUGUUGUUGGUGAAGAAGGAUAGAGGUAGUAACUGGCCCCUAUUUGACGGUAAUCAACCAGAAAGUCACGGCUAACUACGUG